AUGGCUUCUUGGAGAAGAGGGAAUAUUUUAAAAAAUCAGCCCCUCCCUAAAAGGUGCCCUGAACUGUCCAGAAGAGACAAACCGAAGCCCGGCACUGGAAGGGAGGAAAAGAGAGAUGACCCUCUCCCCGCAACAAGGUCAUCAGAGAGCUGGAAGCCAAGUGCCCUCCUCCACGUUCUCUCUACUGUGCCAUGUGGCUUGUGUUGAUACAGACCCUUGGGCUGGACCAAUCCUGGAAGAUCAAGAGCUGACUGGUGAGCCCAGGGCGAAAGUGGUGGGGAUAGGGUGAGAGGCGCAAUGCUCUGGGAUUUGUAGAAAAGUCAGGGUGGAGCCAGCACCCCUUUCUGUACCCUCCACUCACAUAGCACUAUGAUCCUAUAGGAGGCCCGGGGGAAGAAAGGGCUGCACAGAGUCAGCACAGAGAGGAGCAUUCUUGAGAAACAAGGACACGGAUGUUUAUUUGGGAGGUGAUCCCCUGAAGCACAGUGAUGAAGUAAGCAAGGUUAGACAUAGAAGACAAAGAAACAAUAAAGUGAAUGCUCUGAUGAAUGGGUUACUGUCAUGGGCAACUACGGUUGAUCCUUGGCAGCUUUCUGAAAACCAUGUGGCCCUUGCCUCAAAAUCAUGC
Molecule: long non-coding RNA, 628 nt
Filed under: Macaca mulatta (Rhesus monkey)
Lineage: Eukaryota; Metazoa; Chordata; Mammalia; Primates; Cercopithecidae
Description: lncRNA (ENSMMUG00000043504.2)
Source: RNAcentral